This 403-nucleotide ribosomal RNA is filed under the name uncultured bacterium. Its description in RNAcentral is "partial 16S ribosomal RNA". It matches the Rfam family "Bacterial small subunit ribosomal RNA", at positions 30 to 526 of the family's 1533-position model. The record is from RNAcentral.
AUUGAACGCUGGCGGCAGGCCUAACACAUGCAAGUCGAGCGAGCGGCGGACGGGUGAGUAAUGUAUGGGGACUGCCCGAUAUAGGGGGAUAACUACUGGAAACGGUAGCUAAUACCGCAUACUAUCGGAUAACCCAUAUGGGAUUAGCUAGUAGGUGAGGUAAUGGCUCACCUAGGCGACGAUCCCUAGCUGGUCUGAGAGGAUGAUCAGCCACAAUGGGACGGAGACACGGCCCAGACUCCUACGGAGGCAGCAGUGGGGAAUAUUGCACAAUGGGCGCAAGCCUGAUGCAGCCAUGCCGCGUGUAGGAAGAAGGCCCUAGGGUUGUAAAGUACUUUCAGUCGGGAGGAGUUACGGACAGAAGAAGAACCGGCUAAGUCCGUGCCAGAAGCAGCGGUAAUUC